Molecule: ribosomal RNA, 440 nt
Filed under: uncultured bacterium
Lineage: Bacteria
Description: partial 16S ribosomal RNA
Rfam family: Bacterial small subunit ribosomal RNA
Source: RNAcentral
CCUACGGGAGGCAGCAGUGGGGGAUAUUGCACAAUGUGGGGAACUCUGAUGCAGCGACGCCGCGUGGGUGAAGAAGCGCCUCGGCGCGUAAAGCCCUGUCAGAAGGGAAGAAAAUGACGGUACCUGCAGAAGAAGCCCCGGCUAACUACGUGCCAGCAGCCGCGGUAAUACGUAGGGGGCAAGCGUCAUCCGGAUUUACUGGGUGUAAAGGGGGCACAGGCGGCGAUGCAAGCCAGGAGUGAAAGCCCGGGGCCCAACCCCGGGACUGCUCUUGGAACUGCGUGGCUGGAGUGCAGGAGGGGCAGGCGGAAUUCCUGGUGUAGCGGUGAAAUGCGUAGAUAUCAGGAGGAACACCAGUGGCGAAGGCGGCCUGCUGGACUGCAACUGACGUUGAGGCCCGAAAGCGUGGGGAGCAAACAGGAUUAGAUACCCCAGUAGUC